This 318-nucleotide unclassified non-coding RNA is filed under the name uncultured Hypocreales. Its description in RNAcentral is "sequence contains ITS1". The stretch from base 1 to 105 matches the Rfam family "5.8S ribosomal RNA", at positions 50 to 154 of the family's 154-position model. The record is from RNAcentral. Lineage: Eukaryota; Fungi; Ascomycota; Sordariomycetes; Hypocreales.
GAAACGCGAUAAGUCAUGUGAAUUGCAGAAUUCAGUGAAUCAUCGAAGCUUUGAACGCACUUGGCGCCUUCUAGUAUCCUGGGAGGCGUGCCUGUCCGAGCGUCUUUGCAAGCCUCGAGCCCCCGUGGCCCGGCGUUGGGGAUCUGCCCAGGCAGGCCCCGAAAACCAGUGGCGGACCCGUUACAGGCCCUUCCUUUGCGUAGUAAUACUGCCUCGCAUAGGGAGCCGGCGGGCUUCCAGCCUCUAAACCCCCAUCAAGUCCGCCCCGGCGGCACCAAGGUUGACCUCGGAUCAGGUAGGAAUACCCGCUCAACUUAA